UGCAAGUCGAGGGAUAGGCCCUUCGGGGCUGAGACCGGCGCACGGGUGAGUAACGCGUAUGUAACCUGCCCGUAAGAGGGGGAUAGCCCAGUGAAAACUGGAUUAAUACCGCAUAAGAUGCAUUGAUAGCAUUAGAUAUGCAUUAAAGAUUUUAUCGCUUACGGAUGGACAUGCGUUGGAUUAGCUGGUUGGCGGGGUAACGGCCCACCAAGGCGACGAUCCAUAGGGGUUCUGAGAGGAAGGUCCCCCACAUUGGUACUGAGACACGGACCAAACUCCUACGGGAGGCAGCAGUGAGGAAUAUUGGUCAAUGGGCGGAAGCCUGAACCAGCCAAGUCGCGUGAAGGAUGAAGGUAUUAUGUAUUGUAAACUUCUUUAGCAGUGGAGAAAUAAGGGAGUCGAGACUCCUGAUGCUAGUACACUGAGAAUAAGGAUCGGCUAACUCCGUGCCAGCAGCCGCGGUAAUACGGAGGAUCCGAGCGUUAUCCGGAUUUAUUGGGUUUAAAGGGUGCGCAGGCGGCCUUGCAAGUCAGCGGUCAAAUCGUGGAGCUCAACUCCAUUCCGCCGUUGAUACUGCCGGGCUUGAUUGCGGUUGAGGUUUGCGGAAUUCGUCGUGUAGCGGUGAAAUGCAUAGAUAUGACGAAGAACCCCGAUUGCGUAGGCAGCAGACCAAGCCGUAAAUGACGCUCAUGCACGAAAGUGCGGGGAUCGAACAGGAUUAGAUACCCUGGUAGUCCGCACAGUAAACGAUGAAUACUUGCUUUUGGCGAUACAUUGUCAGAGGCAAAGCGAAAGCGAUAAGUAUUCCACCUGG
This 814-nucleotide ribosomal RNA is filed under the name uncultured Bacteroidales bacterium. RNAcentral describes it as "bacterial SSU rRNA". It matches the Rfam family "Bacterial small subunit ribosomal RNA", at positions 56 to 876 of the family's 1533-position model. The record is from RNAcentral. Lineage: Bacteria; Pseudomonadati; Bacteroidota; Bacteroidia; Bacteroidales.